UGAGGGGCUAAGAAGUAUUCCAAAUAGGUUUAAGAAUUCCGGCGAACGGUCUGGACGAUCCACAAUCUUCGCCAAUACUGGAACUUACUGGUGUUCGGCGCCAUCCCCCAGGUGCCUCACCAGGCAAGGUGUCGUUGACCGCGCACCUUGAUUUACUCCUAAUGGUCUUGACCCGGACUCACCCCCAGAGCCCGG
RNAcentral lists this small RNA (195 nucleotides) under Pseudomonas sp. TTU2014-080ASC. RNAcentral describes it as "RgsA sRNA". It matches the Rfam family "RgsA sRNA". From Rfam's summary of the family: P16 sRNA appears to be conserved across several Pseudomonas species and Azotobacter vinelandii. The record is from Rfam by way of RNAcentral. Lineage: Bacteria; Pseudomonadati; Pseudomonadota; Gammaproteobacteria; Pseudomonadales; Pseudomonadaceae.